CACAAUAGAAGGGAGGAAUACCAUCACAAAGAACCUGGACAUGCUUAAAAAGCGGGCACAUGAGAACAUGUUGAGGAUCAACGUGGGCAAGUGCAAGGUGCUGCACUUGGAUCAAGGCAGUUGCUGAUGUGAUUAUGGACUGGGAGAACUCACUGAGAACAACCCUGCCAAGAAGGACUUGGAGAUCCUAGUGGAUGAAAAUCUCAAGCCAGCAGUGUGCUCUUUGCAGCCUGGAAGGCCAAUGAUUGAAGUCCAACUUUACUUGUCACUAAGAUUUUUCUUCUGUGGAGAAGAAUCCAGAAAAAAGAUUCAUACUGAGCAAUGAUUGUUUCAUUCCUUGGGAACUGAAGCAGCUGGAGAAUACUUUGAGAAAGGACGUCCCAAGGUCACAGUGACAGAAAUGGUCCUUCCCAAGUCAUGUCAUCUGCUGCCAAGCCAAAUGUCUUUCCUGUGAUUGAAUGGGUACAACCAGCCAAAGCGAGUCUCCACUCCUCCCUGUGACUGCCUCCAUCUGUGCUGUUGUGCUGGGUCACUUCUCUAAAAUCUGCAGCUGUCCCCAAGCUUUGUCUCACAUAUUUGUUUGUCACACAAGUAUUUUUCCACCUGAUGGGUCCAUUGGCAGACAGCCCUUGCAUUUGAUCUCUUGGUUGUGUUCCAGAGAUCAUUCCUCUGACAAGUACCAUCUCAGCACCAAGACCAAAUGUUGGCUGGGACUCUCACUGCAGCCUGCUGUGUCUGGGGGAAGAGAAACUAUAGCAUCACUGCACUGCAUCUCAAAGGCAAGAGGAGGAUUGUGUCUUUCCAGCCCUGUAUGGUGGUGCCCACGGCCAUAGUGUGCUGCAGCAGCUGCUGGUGGUGGCCUGGGGCUAAUUCUGGAACUACUCCACACACAGAGAAUUCAUAACAUUGAGCUCUGGCUUUCCACAAAAUGUGACCUAGAUAGUAAAGCUUCUCUUUGUUGCCUGUCCUUUUCCAAGCUGAGGAAGCAUGCACCAGGAAACAUCCCACCCUUUCCUGAUGAGAACAGAACAAAUAACAGAGCAUUCUCCUUCAUCCUUAGUACCUAUCUGCUUGAGUUUUUGGCUUUGCCGCUACUAUAGACACAAAGUCUUUGUAGAACAUGGGCUGUAAAUUCAAGUAACAUUAGCUAAGAGAAGUAUUAACUAUUUUGUUUGUCACAUUUGAAUUAAUGAAUGAGUCAUUUUCUUUCUCCAAAAAGUGUUCAGUAUGGAAAUGUGACUUCUGGAAAUGCAAAAAGCUGAAACAAUAUAUUAGGCAAUCAUAUACAAAUUAAGAUUUGCUCAGGUGCAAUUAAGAACAGAAGAGACAAACCUGUAUACAGAACUGAUUUACAGUCAAAUUCACCUGCCUGGAAAGCCCAGAUUAGGUUGCAUGUUGAUUAUUAAACCGGUGUUUCAGUGCUGGUGGAUUACCAGGUUAUCAGAGAGGUGCAAAUAGGCUGAUAAUGUGGAAAGAUCUUCUUAAAGUGGAAUAUACUAACAGUAGGGUUAGAGUGGGAUGGGAUAAGUUGCAGCAAACGGCAAGAAUUGAAGACAUGUUUCCUAUACUCAUACAUGCAGAAAAGCAAGCCAUAUGCACUACUGGAAGUAGACUGUCUAGCUUUUACGGUACUGCACAGAUAGAUAAAGAAUAUUCUUUAUUUUGAAGAAUUCAUACUUGCAAUGUGGAAGUAAAUCCAAAAAUCUAUUAGAAUGUACAAAAGAUACUGGGAAGUUGCAUGAGGAUGUGCAGUCAUCAUAAACUUCUAAAUGUACCUGACUCUAAAUAAGAGUUACAAGUCAAGCUAGAUUUCCUGCAACUCGAAAACUUUGAUAAAUACCAUUACAGAAACAGACCAGUUCAAAUCUUUACUUCACCACUGCACCAAUAAAUCAAACUUAAUUUCAACAAACUUUCAGAAAUUGAGAAAGAAAGUAAAGAAUCUAAAUGUGAUUUGAGAAAUUUUCUGUCUUCCUUACAAUUAAUUAAUACCCAAAGCAUAUAACAACCAGCAGAUGUCUCUGCAGUCAUCAGAUCAGUGGUACACACAGGAGGAAAAGCAGGGAGGGAGAAAUUGAUGAGUGGGUAUUUCUCUUGGAGAAGUCUUUCAGAAAUGUCAAGCCUACAUAGAAGAUUCUGAAAGAACAUUGGCAGCAGAAUGGUAGCACUCCCUAGGAUGAAAACACCACCUUACUUGGAUUUACAAUUUGGACAACAAAUGCCUGAGAGUACUAUCAGAUGGGUUAAUCUGAAAUGGAAUUUUUUAUCUUUGUCAUCUUUGCCUGUAUUUUUGAGGCUUUUUUCAUUAUCAUUUACAGAUGUUCCAUGCAGGCAAGCUUGCCUUUGCCAUCCUGGGAACUGGCUUGUGACUGUGGAAUAGACUUCUGCAACAGUGGAAAGCUGUCAUAAGCAUCCCCUGCUGCGUUCCAGUGCAAGGCAUGCAGCUUCAGUCAUUCCUUCACUAAAAUAGACACCACAACAUGUCCAAAAAUAGUAUAUGCUGUAGCAAAACAAGACAUCUGCUGUACCUAGAAUUCCCUCCAUGGGGAUGAGCUGAGCAGGAAAAUGAACAAGAUGAUCGUCACGAGUCAUGCUAGUUAAUGCACUCUGGUAAGGCACUUAAUGUUAUGACAGUCAGAGCAGCAGAAACAGCAACUAUCUGAUAAUAAAGUGUGUUU
Molecule: non-coding RNA, 2678 nt
Organism: Phasianus colchicus (ring-necked pheasant)
Lineage: Eukaryota; Metazoa; Chordata; Aves; Galliformes; Phasianidae
Source: RefSeq, a predicted model, not a curated record